RNAcentral lists this ribosomal RNA (704 nucleotides) under uncultured bacterium. RNAcentral describes it as "bacterial SSU rRNA". It matches the Rfam family "Bacterial small subunit ribosomal RNA", at positions 8 to 706 of the family's 1533-position model. The record is from RNAcentral.
AGAGUUUGAUUCUGGCUCAGAACGAACGCUGGCGGCGCGCCUAAUACAUGCAAGUCGAGCGAGAAGGUGUAGCAAUACACUUGUAAAGCGGCGAACGGGUGAGGAAUGCAUGGGUAAUCUACCAUCGAGUGGGGAAUAACCAGCCGAAAGGCUGGCUAAUACCGCGUACGCUUCCGGGUUUUCGGGUCCGGAAGGAAAGCCAUGCCGUGGGUAUGGCGCUCUUUGAUGAGCUCAUGUCCUAUCAGCUUGUUGGUAGGGUAACGGCCUACCAAGGCUUUGACGGGUAGCUGGUCUGAGAGGACGAUCAGCCACACUGGCACUGCGACACGGGCCAGACUCCUACGGGAGGCAGCAGUAAGGAAUAUUGCGCAAUGGGCGACAGCCUGACGCAGCGACGCCGCGUGGGGGAUGAAGGUCUUCGGAUUGUAAACCCCUUUCGGGAGGGAAGAUGGGGCAGGUAACUGCUCGGACGGUACCUCCAGAAGCAGCCACGGCCAACUUCGUGCCAGCAGCCGCGGUAAUACGAAGGUGGCAAGCGUUGUUCGGAUUCACUGGGCGUACAGGGUGUGUAGGCGGUUUGGUAAGCCUUCUGUUAAAUCUUCGGGCCCAACCCGGAAAGCGCAGAGGGGACUGCCAGGCUAGAGGGCGGGAGAGGAGCGCGGAAUUCCCGGUGUAGCGGUGAAAUGCGUAGAGAUCGGGAGGAA